CAUCUAUAUAUGUGAAUGAAUCAAUGCUCAUGUAAAGUUAUUUGGUGACAUAUCUUCAAGCCUAAAAGUAUAUUUUAUUGGAUUUUCUUUUGAUGAGGUUCGUGGGUCUGUUUGUGUGUGCUCUCCUCUCCAUUUUCUCUACAGAACUAGGGGUGGGCUUGAGUCUGUAUUUCCCCCCUCCCCCAUCACCACACAAUGCAGAGAGCCAAACCACUAUCAGUGCUUUUGUCCAUACUCCCCCAUUAAAGUGAGAGGGCACAGAGAGGGGGAGAGGAGGAGGAGGGUGAAAAGAAGAGAGAGCUGAUGUUAAGUGUUAUCCUGAGGCGGCGUUGGUGGAAUUUUUCGAUGGGGUCCAGGCUUCCACACUGUAUAGCAGGGUAGGAAUGAUCGCACACACACACGCACACAAACUGUGGUGGAAAACUGUCCUAUACCCCCCUCCUUCUUAAUCACAUACGCGCAUGAAACUGAACAGGCAAAGAGCCUGGGUCUGUAUCAAACACAUGUAGAGCAGAAUAAGUCAAAGAGCAGUAAUUGGAUAGAGAUGUUUCGGAUGUUACUGAGACAGAAUCCUGGAAGUUUUCAGUACUGCAGUGACAGUGAGAGUGAGAGGGGAGGGAGGGAGAGGGAAUAGACAGAGCGAGGC
Molecule: long non-coding RNA, 646 nt
Filed under: Salmo salar (Atlantic salmon)
Lineage: Eukaryota; Metazoa; Chordata; Actinopteri; Salmoniformes; Salmonidae
Description: lncRNA (ENSSSAG00000108903.1, ENSSSAG00020080110.1)
Source: RNAcentral